This 395-nucleotide ribosomal RNA is filed under the name uncultured bacterium. RNAcentral describes it as "bacterial SSU rRNA". It matches the Rfam family "Bacterial small subunit ribosomal RNA", at positions 521 to 916 of the family's 1533-position model. The record is from RNAcentral. RNAcentral also lists the same sequence under 1 other name.
UAAUACGUAGGGUGCGAGCGUUAAUCGGAAUUACUGGGCGUAAAGCGUGCGCAGGCGGCUUUGUAAGACAGAUGUGAAAUCCCCGGGCUCAACCUGGGAACUGCAUUUGUGACUGCAAGGCUAGAGUGCGUCAGAGGGAGGUGGAAUUCCGCGUGUAGCAGUGAAAUGCGUAGAGAUGCGGAGGAACACCGAUGGCGAAGGCAGCCUCCUGGGAUGACACUGACGCUCAUGCACGAAAGCGUGGGGAGCAAACAGGAUUAGAUACCCUGGUAGUCCACGCCCUAAACGAUGUCAACUAGUUGUCGGGGAUUCAUUUCCUUGGUAACGCAGCUAACGCGUGAAGUUGACCGCCUGGGGAGUACGGCCGCAAGGUUAAAACUCAAAUGAAUUGACGG